Molecule: long non-coding RNA, 1798 nt
Organism: Pipra filicauda (Wire-tailed manakin)
Lineage: Eukaryota; Metazoa; Chordata; Aves; Passeriformes; Pipridae
Exons: 3
Source: RefSeq, a predicted model, not a curated record
CCGGCCGGGCUGGGGGCUCCUGGUGCUGCCCGUGGGGUGGGAUGCUGGAAUUGCCUCUCUGGGUGUGUGCUGAGCUCUGGCUGCAGGGGACUGUCAGGCCUUGGUGGCUGUGAGUUCCUGUUCUUCUCCCUGGGAAACUGGAAAGAGUUAUUCCUUGGAUUGCAGAAAUGUUUUCUGAAGCCUGUCCCCUUCUUUGUGCCUUUUGCUGACAGACCUUCUCUUUCUGCCUUUGCAUGUACAGCUGUUCCCUGCUGUCCAUUCCCUGGCCUGAAUUCCUUGCAGCUCCCAGCUGGGGAAACCUGGGAUAACAUGGCAGGGACAGAGGUGACAUUUGUAGCUGCCAACUUGGGGUAAUUUCGAGGGGCCCCAGCAACUGUUUGUGUAGGAAAAGCUUUGCAGGUUUGGAUGAAUUCUACCUACAGCCCGCAAUUCCAUGCCGAAUUCCUGCUGCAACAGCCUCCCAGUGCCUCCUGGAGCCCGGAUGUUCCCCCGCAGAGCUGCUGCUCUAACGCCAGGUUUGCCAGGAAGCAGCCACAGUUCCAGGUUUGCUCAGCGGGAUCGGGACAAGGACAGGUUGAUAUUCCACAGACUUUGCUGUUUGUAACCCUCCUCCCCCAGCCCCGCUGGUGUCCCUGGGGGGACUUGAGCGAGUUCGCUGGAAUUCGGCCGCUUUUCCGCCCCGGGCCGGGCUCCAGGGGAUGGGUUCGCCCAGGAGAAGGCGGGGGCCGGACGCGCUCCCGGCCCGGGGCGAGGCAGCCCCUGAGCACGGGCGAGGACGUCUCUCCGGCCGGGAAGCCGCUGUCCCUUCGGAGCCUCGGGAGCGGCCCCGGGGAAUUCUUUUCCCCGAGGAAAGGGAUGCACAGCCCUGCCUUCAGGGCACCUCGGCUCUGACCCACCUGUUCCAGCUGUCCACGGGCUCUGCAGGUGCGGUUGGGUCCCCGAAAAACUGCGAAUUGCCUCCGAGCCCGACUUUCUCCGAGCAUCCCCUUUUCUUUUCAGGCAUCUCCGAGGGCUCUGGCUCGGGCUUUAGUGCCGCUGAGGGCACAUGGCCCCGGCUUUAAGGCUGCUGCUGGCUGCUGGGCUCCGGCUGGAAGGGCAGGGAUUUGGGGCGGGCGGGACACGCGUGGGGGGCGCGGGGGAGCUCUGGGAGGUGGGCCCUGGGAAUGGCUGCCCGCGCUGCUCUGCAGCCCCGCCGUGCCGACCCUGCCGAGUGCCGGCUGGAUUCUUUGGGUGCUUCUGGGCUGGCGCUGGGGCGUGUCCGGGGUGAGGCAUCUCAGGGGGCCCGUUCAGAGCAGCCCCCGGCUGAGGAGCCGCAGGCAGUCCUUUCCCCGUGCCCACCCCGGUGCCCGUGGCUGGUUCCCCCCCCUGGGAUGUGCGUUUGGCAGACGAGCCCUGCUCGGGAGACAAAUCCAUCUUGUGCCCGAUGGAAGCGCUGGCCCGGGGCUGCUCCAUCCCUGCUGCCAGGAGCUGUGCUGGGAGUCCUGCGGCUGCGGGCGGGAUAGCCUGAGCUCCGGACGCUCCGGAGCGCCGGGAGCCCCGGCAGGGCAGUGCAGGGCACAGCUCCUCCAUCCCCUGGCAAUAGGAAGCCCAAGCAGGGCUGGGUCACUCUCUGUCGCUCCGGCCUCCUCCCGGCCCGCGUUCCCUGCCCACUUGGGACUGCCCAGGAAGCCCCGAGAACGUUCCUGGCGGGAAGCGGGAGCCGCCGAGGGCUCCGUCCAACUCCGGGCCCGAAAAGCGGCCCCGACCUGAACCCCCCCCGGCAUUUUGGGUUCCGAAGGCUCACCUGGAGGAGACGCCC